CCUACGGGAGGCAGCAGUGGGGAAUAUUGCGCAAUGGGCGAAAGCCUGACGCAGCGACGCCGCGUGAGGGAUGAAGGUCCUCGGAUCGUAAACCUCCGUCAGCAGGGAAGAACGGUCACUGUGCUAAUCAGCAGUGAAUUGACGGUACCUGCAAAGGAAGCACCGGCUAACUCCGUGCCAGCAGCCGCGGUAAUACGGAGGGUGCGUGCGUUAAUCGGAAUUACUGGGCGUAAAGCGCUCGUAGGCGGUAUGUCAAGUCAAGGGUGAAAUCCCCGCGCUCAACGUGGGAACUGCCUUUGAAACUGGCAGACUGGAGUGUGUGAGAGGAUAGUGGAAUUCCAGGUGUAGGAGUGAAAUCCGUAGAUAUCUGGAGGAACAUCAGUGGCGAAGGCGACUAUCUGGCACAUAACUGACGCUGAGGAGCGAAAGCGUGGGUAGCAAACAGGAUUAGAUACCCCAGUAGUC
This 465-nucleotide ribosomal RNA is filed under the name uncultured bacterium. Its description in RNAcentral is "partial 16S ribosomal RNA". It matches the Rfam family "Bacterial small subunit ribosomal RNA", at positions 338 to 795 of the family's 1533-position model. The record is from RNAcentral.